AGAGUAAAACAGUACGUGAAAUUGUUGAAAGGGAAACGGUUGAAGUCAGUCGUGCCGGUGGAAACUCAGCGAUUUUCCUUUGGGGAAGUUGUGAAAUUUUUCGCAUGGCAGGUCAGCAUCAGUUUCUUGAGUGGUAAAAAGGUUCUGGUAAGGUAGCUCUUCUCGGAGAGUGUUAUAGACCGGAGCAAAUGCCCCUUGCGAGACUGAGGAUUGCAGCAGACACCAUUCGUGGAGCGGCCCAUGAUCUCUGUCCGGCUCCCCGUGCUCAACAGCAUGCUGAGUGGGUGUGGGGACGCUUUGAACACCAGGUUGCGGAAGCCAGCGGUUUGCUAAGGAUGUUGACGUAAUGGCUUUAAACGACC
This 362-nucleotide non-coding RNA is filed under the name uncultured fungus. RNAcentral also lists the same sequence under 1 other name. Lineage: Eukaryota; Fungi. The record is from RNAcentral.